Molecule: ribosomal RNA, 126 nt
Filed under: Salmonella enterica subsp. enterica serovar Blockley
Lineage: Bacteria; Pseudomonadati; Pseudomonadota; Gammaproteobacteria; Enterobacterales; Enterobacteriaceae
Description: partial 16S ribosomal RNA
Rfam family: Bacterial small subunit ribosomal RNA
Source: RNAcentral
UUAAAUUGAAGAGUUUGAUCAUGGCUCAGAUUGAACGCUGGCGGCAGGCCUAACACAUGCAAGUCGAACGGUAACAGGAAGCAGCUUGCUGCUUCGCUGACGAGUGGCGGACGGGUGAGAAAUGUC